Molecule: long non-coding RNA, 20096 nt
Organism: Equus caballus (horse)
Lineage: Eukaryota; Metazoa; Chordata; Mammalia; Perissodactyla; Equidae
Source: Ensembl
CAUGCUGACUGUUCUGUACCAUUUUUUCCUGAGAUACAGUAUAUCCAUUUAGCUGCAUAUUUAGGCCUUUCUCAGCCUUCAUGUGUCUUGCUUCAUUCUUCAGGAACACAAGUUCUGUGUGAGUUGGAAAUCUUUUGUCUGGUUUUCAGUCGCAUGUCUCCUCUAAGCUACUAGCAUUCAAGUGAUUGGUCCCUUAUGGCAAAUCCCUUAAGCCGUGGGCUCUGUGUGCUGUAGAGAUUGCUGUUUCCCUUCUACCAUUUAUUCCAUUUCACCUCUGGCAGUCCCAACUGGAUAUAAGGGCCUUGUUUGGUUGAAGGAAAUUAAUUAGAUGUUCCAUAAUCCCUUGCUGCUCCUGUGAUCCUUGGACCAGCAGCAUUGACUUCACUGGGCAGAGCAUAAAAAUUUACCAAUUUUCUUGGUGUGAACACUCCCACCAUGGCUGAUUUCAAGCUAACAACAUGAUGUCGCUGAACGUAGAAUUGGGAAGAGAUGUGAACAAUCUGUUCCUGUAUGCCUGUGCAAGCUACUCCAGCACACCACUGGUAAGAAUCUAUUUAUUGCUGUUGCUAUUGUAUAAACACAAGCUCUCUUCCCAAGUUCUGUGAUAUUUGGGGUUUUUUUGGUAUGUGCUUCUUUUGCUAAUGAGUACCUUGGAAAAAUGAAGUAUUAAGAUAAAAUUGAAAUUAAAAACUCAUCUCUUCUUAUACUUUUAACAUAUACUAGUUAUAAUAAGUUAAUAUUUUGUUUAUGAACCAAAGUCUUCAUAUGUCUAGAUUUUUGUAUUAGUACAUAAUAAUAAUAUUUUGGUCUUCAAAAUAAACAAUGUUUUUCCUUUUUAUCCAAUGCACUUUAACCUUUUAUUACUUCAUAUAGCCAAUUGAAUACUCUUGUGGGACAGUGUGGGCAUUUUACAAAGAAAAUGGCUGACAUGGACAAGGUCACAAAACAAAUACAGAGACAAAACAAAUGAGAAAACAUAACUCUGGUUUUUCUGCAUCCCAGUCAUGAUAGUAGUUUGUGUCAAAGACAUUGAUGCAGAGAACGAUAGAAGGAGUUUCUCAGAAACUGUAGUUGACCCUCAUAUGGCUCUAAAAUUCCCGGGCAUUUUGAAAGAGAUCAAAUGGCAAGUAAUGUUAUGUAUUAUUGGACCUCCCUGAGAGAGAUUUAGAUGAUCAAACUUUUCACUGACUUCUCUGCCUUCCCUAUUAGACUAAUGUGAUCCAUGAAGAUAAGGUUGCUCUUUUUCCCUUUUACAGUCAUCAGCAAUUUCAUCUAUUAUGCAUACAAUAAAAGAGACAUUCAGAGAGGUUAAAUAAUUUGAUCAAGCAUAUACAGAUAUUUUGUAAAUUGCAGAGCCAGGUUAAAGUCUAAUGCCAUCUGAAUCCCAAACCCCUGUUUGUCUUUAUUGCAUUACGGUUUAUGUGGUCAUUAUCCUUUGUUCUUGUACUAUAUUGAGUGUGGAUUUUUUACUCUAAGAAUUUUAUAGUAUAACUAUCCAUACUCAGUCUUGGGGAAGUUGGUCAAAAAGUGUGUGCAAUUAGUGUUCAGAGAUGUAGCAAUAAAAUUGUUUCAGUCUUUUUAUUUGUAAAAAAGGUCUCAGCUUCCUACAAUUGCAAAAAGAUUUUACAUCGAGGAUAGACAAAUUCGUAGAAACAGAAAGUAGAUUAGAGGUUACCAGGUGCUGGGUGGAGGGAGAAAUGGGUAAUUAUUGCUUAAUAAUUAUAAAAUUUCUGUUUGGGGUGAUGAAAAGUUUUGAAAACAAAUAGUAGUGAGGGUUGUAUAACAUUGUGAAUGUAAUUAACGCUACUGAAUUCUACCCUUAAGAUUGUUAAAAUGGCAAAUAUAAUGUUAUAUAUAUUUACCACAGUUUUUUUUAAGACUACUAAAAGCAGACCCAAGGCCUCAAAAAAACCCCCCCCCCAAAAUUCACAUGGUCAUCAUGGCACUGCAUUUUUAGAGAAUAAUCUCUGGAAAUUCUCCAAAUUAUUUUUUCAAGGCCUAGAGAUCGUAAGGAAACGUUUUUCGCAAACACUGCUAAUCCUGAUAAGAAUUUCUAUAUUUGAAUGGACUUUUUAUAAUUAAAGAGCAAUUAUAUUAAUUUACAAUGAGAAUGCUAACCAUAUAGGGAGGCUUUUGAGUAAUAUCAAUCAAUGUGUUUGUUUUCCACCAAAGCCAAAUUACCGGAAUUUGGGGGUUGGUAAGAUGAUCCUAAUGAGAAGGGUACUAAUUAUUAGGCAUGGCCUUCAACUCGCAGUUCCUUGUAGUUCUUCCCUGAGACCUUAUACUAGACUUACAUAGACAUUUUUACAAUCCUCCAUAGAUGGGCCAUAUUUUCUAUUAUGUAUAGAAUUUAUUAGUUGGAUUCCUAAAUUUCAAAUUUAAACAGUAUUGUCUCAAAGAAGAGUUUCAUGAUUCCCACAAUCCAGGUUUGGCACUCUCCAUUCUUUUAUGCCCCCAAAGUUCCCUAUAGCUCUUCAUUACAGUACCUGGCUGAUUAUGCAUUAUUAUUGGUAAUUAUCUGUUUAAUAUGUGUAUUCCCUGAAGGACUAUGUGUUCCGUAAGGAUAAGGAUGGAACUUUGUUCACUGUUGUAUUUCUUUAGUUUUCCUUUUUACUGAUCAUUAUUUUCUUCAUCCAGAGAGACAUCUUGUUUUUUUUCUCUCAGGACUGCUUCAUACCUAACCUUCUGCUUUGACCUUCUCAUUCAUGUUUCAGCUCAACAUGACCCACAGAAACUUCUUUCCUGACCAUUCCCAUUAGAUCCUCAUCCAGUUCACUACUACUGUGCCCUCUAUUACCUUCACUUAACUUAUUGUGACUUAUAUUUCUAUAUUAAUCUAUUCGUGUACUUUUAUUGUCUCUCUUGCUCUCAUGUCAUUGUAAGCUCGAUGACAGGAGAAACCAUAUAUGUUUUAUUAGCAUUUAUAACACCUGGCCUGGGACUAAGCACACAGUCGCCACUCAAUAAACAUGUAUUGUCUGCCUAACUGACUAUCUACUUAGAAUUCUUUUUAGAAAAACAUGUGGACAUAAAUAUGAAUAAAAGUGAAUAACAUCAUAUAGAAAAUCUUCAUGGAUAAUGCUUGUAUAUAUAUUUUUCUUUUUCUGACAUGGCUGAAUGACGUUCUGUAGACGUAGGCUAAUAAUAGUUCAUAUUUCAGUUUAAAGUGAACUACAGUACAUGGUCUAAAUAAACGUUCUUUAAUGAGAUAAUUUACUAUGUACAUCUUCUUAACAUGAUACUUUAAAGGGUUGAAAUAUAGAUCUCAACAUCCUUCUGCAUUCUCUAAAGGCUGAGAACUCCCUGAAGUUAUUGGAGCAAUAAAUGGAUACUCCUCUACUAGUCAAUGAAUAUUCUGGAGAGAUGCCCAGACAUUAAUUAAUAUUUUUGAUUCUUAUUACUUUGCAUCUUCAAAGUCAAUAUGUAUUACUUGAAAUAUUGAUUUUUUAUUAUGUAUCUCUUGCAAAAAGUUUAAUUCUGACCUUGAGAUUUUCUUGCUUAAAGGAGUCAUCCAAAGUUCUGAGACUAAAGCAUAUUUUACUUAGGGUUUUUACUGUAAAUGGCAAUACAGUACACCAACUAAAUGGAAUCUUCUGUCUCCGUGGAGUAGAAAUUAGGUUUCAGGAAGCCGUGACACCGCAGUAGUGGACCGAGCUCAGAGCUUGUUUUUCUAAGUCUUUGUCUUAUGAAUUUGGUCAGAUAAAAUGUUUGGUCUGAGUAUAUUGAAAAUAAAAAGUAGAUAAAUGCUUUUAGAGAUUACUUUCUCUUUAUCAAUUCCCUGGACUCUCUAAGAAAGAUAUACUAUCUUGGAGUCCUUAAAAGUUUAAAAUAAUGUGAAUGGGAUCAGAGCAGUUCUCUCUCAGGUGCUUGCUGACAAUGGAAGAGGAUAGGAUGCAUUAAGAUUUUAAAAUAUACCUAGCAUAGUGUUUAGACCUUAAAGAGCUCACAGAGCUCAGCCUGUCAAACUGAUCAACAUCUAUAUAGAGACAGGCACUUGCCUAAAGUCACCCAGUGAGUGAACAGCAGAGCCAGGCCUUGAACUCAGUACCUGGUCCCUACUAUAGGUUCUCCCCACUACGUACUCACAUAUAGAGAAAGUGAUAACUACAGCCGUUCCAUUUAGAAACGGUAAUAAGGAAUCUAGGUCUGGGUAAAGCAUUUAAGAUUAAAUAUGAUGCUUUUAGCAGACAGAAUCAAUAGGUCAAGUCCAAAGGUCAUUUUAAUCUUGAAUAUUUUCCUUUUCGUAUCUAUUAUUUGAUGAUAAAAAUGACCAAAAAUUUUGAUGAGAAAAAAUGCACACUUUAUCAUAUAUUGAAUGAAAAUCAUUAUGAGUUUCAAAAGCUUUUUAAAAAAAUUUCCACAUGAUAGAUAAUAGAUUACUCGUGUUUCUACAGUCUUUUAGGUAUACAAAUUGUUUUCAUGUUCAUUAUCUCUAUGAAUUCUCUUAAAAGACCUGCCUGCAAUGUGGAUAAUGCUUAUUUCCUUUUCGAGAUGAUGAACUUGAAAUUCCAUAAAUUGGGGAUUUGUAAAAGCUACAUAGCUAGGUCAUAAGAGAGGCAGGAUUCAAACCUUUUUCUUCAAACUUUAGUGUGCAUCAGAAUCCCCUGCAGGUCUUGUUAAAGCGGUCUGCUGGGUCAGAGUUUCUGAUUCAGUAGAUCUACAUGGAGGCCUAAUUGUAGUUCUAACAAGUUCUCAGGUGAUACUGAUAUAGCUAGUCCAAAGACCCAGCAACUGGUGUAGUUAGUCCUAGACCCACUCUGUCUGUGUUCUCAUGUGCUCUAAUAGAAUGGGGAUGUUUCAAAAGUAAGUUGUUUGCCUAAUCCCUAUUCUGGGAUUUAUUAGUAAGUCCUUUUUAUAUUUAGCAAGUCGUUAAAGUAGUAUCUUGUAUGUUUAAUUUGCCAAUAUCAAUGUUUUUAAAUAGAAAAAAGAAAUCAACAUACAUGUAUCAGGUCCGUUGAAAGAGGUGUAUAUCAUUUUGUUAUGUUAAAGUAAGCCUCAUCAAUGAUUUUUAAAUACAUUUUGUUUUAUGGUUAGUUCUAUCUUGUCUGCUAAUAUUCCACUUAUAAUUCUGUUGAUAAUUAAGUAAGAUUGAUACUAUUAUUUCCUGAAUUUGCUCCCAAAUAUGCUGGACAUUAAAUAGGAUGAAAAUCUAAAGUAAAUUGCCCCUAAAAACUACAGUGGUUCAGUGGGUGAUUAAUUACCACCUGGAAACUUUAAACUUUGUCCUAAAUUAGAAGCCUUGUGCUUGAUAGGUUUAUAAAAUCAUUAGGCAUUGGCUUUGAAAAGAAGUUGAUAAGUAAAAGUCUUAUGUUUAUUAGGGACUGCCAGGUAAAUUGGUACAUAUGUAUGCUGACCGAUAGAAACUAGAUUUUUGGUGAUGAACACAAUGUAGACUAUACAGAACCUGAAAUGUAAUGAUGUACCCCUGAAAUUUACAUAUUGUUAUAAACCAGUGUGACUUCAAUAAAAUUUUAAAAAAUGAAUUUUAAAAGAUAACAUCUAAGCAGUUUUGUAACUAUCAGAUAUGUGGGGUUUUUUUUAAAGAUUGGCACCUGAACUAACAUCUGUUGCCAAUGUUCUUUUUUUGUUUCUUCUUCCCUCCAAAGCCUCCCAGUACAUAGUUGUAUAUUCUAGUUGUAGUUGAUUCUGGCUCUGCUAUGUGGGAUGCCGCCUCAGCAUGGCUUGAGGAGCAGUGCUAGGCCUGCACCCAGGAUCCAAACCAGUGAAACCUUGGGCUGCCAAAGCAGAGCGCAUGAAAUUAACCACUGGGCCACAGGACUGGCCCCUCAGAUAUGGGUUUUUGUUUUUUGUUUUUUUGAUGAGGAAGAUUGGCCCUGAGCUAACGUCUGUUGCCAAUCUUCCUCAUUUUGCCUGAGGAAGAUGAGCCCUGAGCUAACAUCUGUGUCAAUCUUCCUCUAUUUUGUAUGUUGGUUGCUGCCACAGCAUGACUGCUGACGAGUGGUGUAGGCCUACACCUGGGAACUGAACCCAGGCUGCCAAAGUGGAGCAUACCAAACUUAACCACUAGGCCACAGGGCCGGCCCCUAGAUAUGUUUUAUUAGAUCUUUACUUUUCUUACUUUUUAGUUGAAAGAGGUGUUCAUACUUAACAGUCUGGACUGGUCUCAGGUUGCCAGAUAAACUAUAGGACAUGCAGUUAAAUUCGAAUUUCAGAGAAAGAAAGGAUAGGUUUUUUUUUUCAUGUAAGUAUGUCCCAAAUAUUGUAUGGAACAUACUUAUGCUAAAAACAGUUACUUGUUGUUCAUUUGAAAUUCAAAUUUAAUUGGGAAUUCUUUUCUUGUUCCUGCUAAAUCUGACAACCCUAGACUGAUCACGAAGGUAGAGAGCCACUUACAUGUAGUUUUGUUUUGACUACUGCAUGAAACUAUAGGGAGCAUGUACAAACACUCUCACUUCAUCUCAGCAGUUAAUAAGGAGUAAAAUUCAGAAAUUCUGAAUAGGGGCCAGCCCCAUGGCCGAGUGGUUAAGUUUGUGCAUUCUGCUGUGGCGGCCCAGGGUUUCGUUGGUUCGGAUCCUGGGUGUGGACAUGGCACCACUCAUCAGGCCACGCUGAGGCAGCAUCCCACAUGCCACAACUAGAAGUACCCACAGAUAAAAUAUACAACUAUGUACUGGGGGGAUCUGGCGAGACAAAGAAGAAAGAAAAAAAAAGAUUGGCCAUGGUUGUUAGCUCAGGUGCCAUUCUUCAAAAAAAAAAAAAAAGAAGAAAGUAAUUCUGAGUAGUGCAUUGUGUUAACAUCACACACACACCAAAUUGUAUUGGUAUCCACUAUAUAUGUAUCAUAUAUAUGAUACAUAUUAUAUAUACUUUUUCUCAGUGAUGUCAGGAUAGUAUAUUUAACUAUGUAUUGAACUCACUGUGUCUUCAAUGUGUUAAGAUCUUCAAAUAUAGUUAUGCAUUAAAUAAACACUUUCCAAGCACUCAGGAAGAGUCAGAAUUCAUUGUGUUCAGCCAAAUGUAAGUUUAAAUAGAUUAACAAAUAAUUGCCCUCUAUCCUCUUCCAGUGAAUUAAAUGCCAGUAAAAGGGCAUGAAAAGGCAUUAAAGCUAAAAAGAUGAUUCUCAUCCUUGGUUUCAAAUUGGAAUCGCCUGGAGAGCUUUAAAUUACAUGCCUGGGCCCCACCCUCAGAUAUUCUUAUUAUUUGGUCUGAGGUCUAUCCUGGGCAUUGAGGAUUUUAAAAAGCACCUUCAAAUGCUUCUAAUUUGUAAGCCAAGCUUUCCUAAAUUAGUGGUUCUCAAGCUUUUUUGCAUAUUUAAUAACUUAGGGGAGCUUUAAGUAAUCACCUGGAUACCAGACCACCCUCCAGAGCAAUUAAAUAAAAAAAAGGAAGGGAGGUUAAGACUCAGACUUUAGUGUUUUUAAUGCUUCCCAAAUUUCUUCCAAUAUGCAGCCAAGUUGGAGAACCACUACACUAAACAGGAUUUGUAUGCACUUUACACAUCUCUCCACUCAGGUGUGAACUAGACUUUGGGUUAAGACAGAAUUAUAGAAGGUAAUAGGCAUAUGUGUUCUUUCAGGGAGGGAAGAGCUACCUGCUAUGUGAUCACCAUAUUUAAAAAAAAGAUAAUAUGAAAGCCACUGACAAAACGUCAAGCAUGAACUUGAGACCUGCCUAUGGAACACUCUGCCAUAGCUUGAAAUCCAUAUGGCUUAUGAGUUCCAGGUUGGUAUAUAUAUUUUUCCAUACCAGGAUAACGAAAAAUUCCAAACUGAACAAACAACAACAAAAAGUUUCAGAAGCACAAAUGUAAAAACCUGCCGCAAUGCUGAGGACUGAAAACUCUGAUAGUAGUUGUUUUGUCUUCUGCAUGUGUGGCUGAUCUUGCCAUAUGAGCAAAUCAGGGUGCUGAAUGAGCCAUGAAAACUUGUGGAAGCCCUCAAGUGGGUCUUCUGAAUCUUUGAGAUGCAUCAGUUGAAAUGGAUGGAUUUGUUUUACCUUUAGCCAUUAUGUCAAGUACCAUCAGUUCCUUGAUUCAAUUAGUUCUCAUUUAUAUAUAUUGAUGCUCAUUGAUUUCUUAAUUCAGUUCUACCUAUAUGAUCAGAUAAUACCUUCCUUUUUUCUCUUCCUUUUGGUGGUGGCAGUGGCUGGGGUGUCAGGGGUAGGGAUGGGAAUGUGAGUGGAAUGGAAAGAAGCCUAGAUAAAGAUUUAAGAAAAGGCAUUUAGUUCUUGCUCUGCCCAAUAUUGCAUAUUUCACUUAAUUUUCAGAGCCUUUUGUUUAUUGUUCCAAUUAGUAUAGUGUAGCAUCUGGUUUAAGACCUCACAGAGUUGCUAUGAAUAUCAAGUUAGUUUAGUAUGUCAUCUUCUGUGAGGUAGCUGGCAAUGAAAGACUAAUGGCCACAGUGGGAGCAAAUGGAGAAUUCCUGAAAUUAGACAUGCCCAUUGAGGUGGCGUAAGUGCUGUAGGACUUGACCUCGAAUAAGUUAUAUUUUUUCAAUGAAGUAAAAUAAGUCAUUCACUUGCAGGAGUUAGAGGCCAGGGGUCGCAGAAGGGACUGGAGGUUUGAAGAGAAUGGAAACAUUGGAUCAUCUUCCCUGAUCUCUAGGAAUGUAAUUUUUGGGAGUAAGGUUACCAAAGAAAAUACAGGAUACUGUUGGUUCACAACCUUGAGAGUUCCCCAGGUAAAAUUUGAAACUGGACCCAGGACACAGAGGACAAAGAGAGACCAAAGAGGCAGGCCACUCCAGAUUAGUAGGUGGCAGUUGUAAUAAACAAGGAACCUCCCAUAUGAGGAUUGUCUUGGGUGGCUGCAAGAUGAAUAGAUCUCCACACCUGCCCGCCAGAAUCUUAAGAGUUUAUAUAGAGGCCUUAGUGGGGUUCAGUCACAUAUACAGUCCAGAUGGUCUCACCAACGCAUUACUCUUUCAAGGCUGUGUCCUUGAAGUAGCUCCUAGUGUGGGAACAGUGGGCAGAACAUAGAUUCCAAGGACAGGGGAGGGAGUGAGGAGCCUGUGGAUUGCCUGAGUCCAGCUUUCAGGUCAACGGGCAGUCACGUCCUGUCAAUGACUUCCUCUAACAGAUACACAGUUAAUUUGAAUUUGAUAUAAACAAAAUAAAAGUUUUGCAUAUGUAAGUCCCAAAUAUUGUAUGGGAAAUACUUAUAAUAAAAAUCUCUUGUUUAUCUGAAAUUCAAAGUUCACUGUGCAUCGCGUAUUUUUAUUUGCUAAAUCUAGCAGCCCUAACCUUGGGGGUCUGGGGUUAGCAGCUCUGCGUCCUCUCUCAGUUAUUAUUGUGGAUGAGAAUGGUUAAGGUAUCAGUUCCUUGCUACCUGCCUCAAGAUAUUGUUGAUUGACAGGUGAUACUUUAAUAUGGAUAACACUUUAUAGGUUAGAAAGUGGAUUUAUAUGUCUUGCAUGCUCUUUACAAGGAACAUAGAAGUUAGGCAUUUUCAACCCCAAUUUACAGGUUAGAAAACUGGAUAUCAGAACGAUUAGGAUACUUGUCCAAGUUUAUAUGGCUAGUUAGUGGAAUAUUAGGUAAUUAGACACAGUCUUCGAUUCCAUGUGUAACGUUAUUUUAACUCUGCCCAAGCUGUCUUUUGGACUGAUUAGAUCUCAGUAUUUUAUAUUUUUCCAGAAGGAGAUUUUCUUUUGCUUUUCAUUAUGUAAAACUAGUCCCAGCAGGCAUCUCUUGCAAUCCAGUCGUUUGGCUUGUAUGAUUCCAUUGGAGAUGUAACAUUAAUAAGAUCGCUAUGAGUAAAACAUAUAGCACAUUCAACGUGUCAUUGUGGUUUCUUUGACCAAAUGAAUUGAGCAAAUGUAGUGUUACAAGAAUUUACAUUUCUAACCAGUUGGAAACUCAACAAGUUAUUUACUUCACAGUUUUAAGUAGUUACUUUCUACAAACAGUGUCACAAAUUGACUUGAAAUAACAUAAUUAUCAUACAAUAUGUUUUUCUAAAAUCUUCUCUAGAUUGAUAUGAAUGGUCAUUGCUUGGCAAAUUGUAACUAAAUUUCUCCAGUGCAACAUAUUUCAGAGAGAACAAUACCAGAAAGUGUUUAAUGGCAAUAACUCACAUAUAGCGACACUAUAAAGGAGUGGUUCUCAGAGUGUGGUCCCUGGACUAGUAGCCCUAGCAUCCCCUGGAACUUGUUAUUGAGAUGCAAAUUCCUAGAUCUCCACCGAUACCUACAGAAUCAGAAACUCUGGGGGAGUGGCCCAGCAUCUAUGUCUAACAAGCCCUUCAGGGGACUCUGAUGCAUGAUAAAGUUUGAGAACCACUGCUAGCCUAGCAUCCUGCUGUGCCUCCUGAGGGUGAAGAGUGGAUGCUUACUUUGAAAAGCUGUGUUUACACACAUUUCUCUUCCAACAAUGCUUCUGUGGACAGCAUUUGAUAAUAAGUCUACUCCUUUGUUACAGUUCCUAUAAUUCUUAACGUAUCAGAACUUGCUCAACAAGUGGGAGAGGGAACACUGCCAAAAUAAGGAAAAGAUACUCAUGAAACUGAAGUGAACAUAAUUAAUUGUUAAAUGCAACUGUAAGUGUUCAUUCUUUUUGAGUGAGUAAACUUAACAUUUACUAAUACACUAAACUCUUAUGUGCCAGAUUCUAUGCUCAGCAUUUUGCAUACGUCUCAUGAUCAUUCUGCCUUAGAAAUAUUAUUAUAACCAUUUAACAGCUGAUAAAACUGUGCUCUGAAAUAUUAAGUAUUUGCUCAAAGUUACACUGCUGGUCAGCAGCCUAUGUUUGGUUUUUCUUUAUAAUCUAAGUAUAGCUUAUCUCUUUUAUGAGCAGCCCUGGCAUUUCCUAUUGCCACCUACCCUGAAUUAGUUCUCAUCAUUCUACAAUGCAGUUUUCUAUUAACUUGACAGUUGUCUUGAAACCAGAGUGUGAAUAUCAAAAAACAAAUCCAAAGAAUUGUACUAAAGCAUUUCAGUUUCUCACUCCUGGCCCAUAGAGACAGACUUUCUAGGAAUUCCCUAUAAUAAAGCAGAUAAAAAUAUUAAUAUCGCAAUUUUCCAGUUCACAAAAGUGAAUGCACCAAUAAUGCAGAUAGGGGAAGUUGGUAUGUAUCAGAGGUGGUAUUAGAGAUUAGUAAGGAAAGGAUGGACUAUGUGACAUGUGGUGCUUGGACAAUUAGUUACCAUACAAGUGAAAAACGUAAACCCUGAAAUUAGAUCCUUACAUCACACCAGAAGUGAAAGUAAAUUCCAAAUGGACUAAAGACCUAAAUGUGAACCAAAAAAAUGUAAACAUGUUUAAAAUACAUAUAAGAAAAUAUUUUCAAGGUCUUGUGGGUAAGGAGGAUUUCUUUUAAGAGAUUUAUUUUUAAGUUUUAUUUAAAAUUAAAAUGAUGACAUCAAAAUUUAAAACAUUCAUGUGACCAAAAAAAAAAAUCAUGAAAAAGUGAAAAGGCAAAGGACAGAUUAGGAGAAAUAAGAGAAAAUAUUUCCAGUAUAUACAAUGGAACAAGGAUUAGAAUCCAAAAUAUGUGAAGACAUUCUACAAGUGAAUAAGGAAAGUAGGAACAAUCCAGGAUAAAAAUAGGCAAUAAAUGCAAAUAGGUAAUUCACAGCUGAGAAAUUGAAUGACAAAAAGUUAUACGCAAAAAGGCUAUACCUCUAUAGUAAUCAGGGGAAUAUAAAUAAAACAAGUAAAAUGCCAUUUCAUACUCUUCAGACUAGCAAAAACUAUAAAAUCUGGCAGUAACAAGUACAUACUUUUGGUGAGUGUGUAAAUUAGGCCAGUUAUUCUGUAGAGGGCCAGAAAUAGCUGGAAAAUCUGGAUAUGUGUAUAAAAAUCCCCAGCAAUUCUCCUUCUAGAUAUGGUACCUAGGGGAAUACUCCUGUUUGAGUGCAAAGAGGCAUGCAUCAUUAAGUCAAUGCAGUGCAGUUUGUGAUAAAGAUUGGAAAUAACCUAAAUGCCCAUCAAUAGAAAAAUGAGCAAAUGAAUUUUGGUAUGUGCAUGAAGUAUAUUAUGUAGCAGUUAAAAAUAAUGAACUAGAUUUCUAUGUGUCAACAUGAUAGAUUUCCAAAAUCUAAUUUGGAGGGAAAUAAAUAAUUUGUAGGAAGAUAUACAUAGUCUGAAUUCUAUGUAUGUAAUUUAAAAACAUAUAACAGUAACAUAUAAUAUAUAUGAAGAUAAAUAUAUAUUUAUAAAAUAUGGAUUGAUAGGAAAACACAAAAUUCAUGAUUUCCUCUGGGGAGGGGCUAAGUAGGAGAAUAAGAUUGAGGAGGAAAUUCUAGGGACAAAAGUUAUCAGAAAAGUUUACUUGCUUAUAUUAAAAAAUAUCACAUAAGUAUAGCAAAAUAAAAAUAUCUGUCACAUUCUAGGCAAUGGAUGAAUAGACGUUUGCUAUAAUAGUCUCCUGUACUUUCUGCAUUGUUAACCUUUUUUUCCAAAUUGAAAAGAAUAUCCAGAAGCUCAGAGGGGUAUGUGAAUUACAUAAGACAGCUAAGGUAAAGAAAUAUAGGACUGUGGAAAAAGGUAGAUUCACAUGCAAUUGAAAGGCUAAUUACAUUGACAGAAGAGGGAAGUAUUCCAAAUGGGUCCAAAGAGAUUUUCAAGUCUUUCUCUUUAUAAAACAUUAUUGAUUAAUCCUUGCAGUGUUGGGAAGGGUUUCAUUAGAGGGAAUUGUUUUCACUAAGAUUUUUUUUCCACCUCUGAAUUCCCAAAUCCACGCCAGAGCACUAUCCACUUUAUAUCUGUAGGUGGAUAGCUAUCUUAUAGCUGACACUAAGACAUGCUUUCACUGUCUUCACUGUAUUACCAGAUGACAACCCCUGCUCAAAAAGAUGUGAUGUGGUUAAUUAGUGCUUUUCCCCCUUAUUUUUAGAAUUGGUUGUUGUAACUCACUGCACCCUGGUCUUCCGGGUAUCUGGUGGUACGAGAUUCCAGAUGAUCUGGGAAUUGAGUUCUUAAGGAGGGCUUUUUCUGAAAGCCCUCUCAAGAUUUAAGUGAACUGUGUUAAACCUAAACAUAAUGCGUAAUAUUCGCUAGAGAUUUUACAGUUUUGGAAGUAUCAACUUAUUAAUAUAAUUCAAGCCUUCUCAGAAAGGAAACCUGGAUGAUAUACUACUGAGUGUUAGUGAAAGACAGCAACAACACUACAUUGGGUGUAAGGUGACUUAGUGUUAACACUGGGCCUGCCUCUAAUAGCUCUGAGACUUUGAAAGAGUUAUUUCCCCAAUUCGGGCUUCAGUUUCUCUAUCUGUAUUUUAACAGGGGUGGAUUAAUGAGAGAUCACAAGCUGGCAUACAGUGAGCAUAAUUUAGCCUGUAGGUUCAUUUUAUUUGAUGUGUAGAUAUCAGUGGCAUUUGUCACAGGCAAUCAUUUCCUCCUGAAAAUAUUUUCUUUGCUUUAACUUCUAAGGCACCACACUCUUAGUUUUUCCUUGUUAACUGGCCCCCUUCUUGGUCUCCUUCGUUUGGACUGAGUCAAAAUUAGAGCUUGGAUCUCCUAUCUAUUUACAUAGUAUAAAUUCCACUCACCCUCUUGUGAGCAUCAUCGUUUUAAAAUCAUAUAUUUAUUGACAGUGUCCAAAUAUAUAUCUUUAGCCUUGAGAGCUUCUUUGAAUCCCAGACCCAAUUGCUUACUUGAUAUUUCCCCUUUAUAUCUAAUGUAUUGCUUAAAAUUAGCAUGCCAAAUCUGAACUCUCAGUCCCCGUCCCUCUGGACUUCAGUCUGCUCUUCCAUCUGUCUCCCUCCCACCCAUGAGAGGAAACUCCAUUCUUCCACUGCUCAGGCCAAAUAACGACCUUGGAGUCAUCACCGAUCCUCUCUUUCUCUCACACCCCGCACCUGAAGAUUAGCAAAUCUUGUUGGCUCUAACUUAAAAAUACAUCCAUAAUGUAUCGAUCAGUACAAAGCCCCACACUGAAGAGCAGUCUCUGGGAGUAGAAACCCAGUUCAGAAAAAUAGGGACAUUAGGGGCAAAGGAAAGAGAUCAUUGAUAUAGCAGUUGGGAAACAGGGCCAGGAGAUUCCUGAAAAUAUAUGGUCAAUUAGUUUGAACACUAGACAAAAAUCAAAGAAAGGGAACUUCAUAGCCACGAAGGAAGAAAAUCUAUUCUAAUACCCCACACGCCUGAAAGUUAAGGAAAAUGAUUUCACCUAAAAACAAUCAGAAAAUUAUCAUGAGAGAAUACUAUACCAAUGUAUAAUUCAAAAAAUAGAAUAAGGAGCAGAUUAAUAUCACUACAGGCAAUGAAAACAUUUGUAGAAAGACACAUCCGUAAAACAAAAUGUAUUAUCUAGUAUUUCAAAACAAGUUAAAAGGAAUUAACAAAAUAAUAGAAGCUAUGAAAGAACAGUGUAAAUUUGAAUUACACAAACUCGGGGGGAUGUGAUUACGCCCAGAAAAUAAUUACAAAUAGAAGUCAUUACAGAAAUAAAGAUUAAAUUUGAAGGAUUACGAGAGCAAAUAAACAUGACAGAUGAUGCCUCUUAAAGGAAAUAAAAUGUAAAAAAGAUAAACUUAAAAAAGAAGUGAAGAAAAAGAUAAAAAGAAUUCAAGAGAAAGUUCCGCUAGUUUGUUUGGAGAAUUCACAGGACCCAGGCUGUUCUAUUCUUUUCAGACCUUGCAACAGGCUCCUAGGAUCACCCACAAAAUGGAUUGUGCAAAAAUCCCUUCCAGUUUCAGCUGCUGUUCUCAAAUAGGCCCUGCAUAUUUUCCAAGAAAGUUUAGUAUUUGCCCAUUCUUGCAUAUUCUUAGCUAUUCUUAGCAAAGGAGCCCCUCACCUCCUUGUUUCCUCUUGGCUCAAUAUGAACUUCUUGCCUCAUAUUUCUUUUUUUGAGUUUUUAAAAUUAGUUUUGCCAUUGUCUUGUGGCAUAAAACAUUGCUGUUGACAAUAUUCAUAUAAUAGGAUUCCCAAAGGAAAAAUUAAGGCACUUAAAAAGAACAAACUCCAAAAAAUAUAAUCCAAUAAAACUUUUAUGAAAUAAAAACAACUUAAUACUGUAUUAGAAAGGGUACACCACAGAUCUGGGAAAAGUGACUCAGAACAACAAACAAAAAGGUAUACCCAGUAAAACCGUUGAACUUUAAAGGGAAAAAAUAGGAAUAAUCUCUUUGGCUUCUAGGCAAAAAUAGAAAGUCCCUUAAAAGGGAAGCAAAAUCAGAUUCUCAUCAGACUUUUCAAGCCAAACUUACCUUGAAAAUUUGAGUACCAAGGAAAAUAUUGUUAAAAAUCAAGAGAAAACAAAAGACAUUAGAUCGUAAGGGCAUCCGGAAAAAAAUAUGCAGCUGCCCCUCAGAAUCAUCUGCCCUGGAAGUGACAGGGAAAAGCACUUAGACAUGGGCUCCCAUCACUCACUGUUUGAGGGGUGCCUUUGGGAUGGGGGAUAAUAAUCUGAAUUUCUGCGGUACACAUUCGUGCAUGACCAGUAGGCUCUAGCUGUCUCAACUCGGCCUCAGAGAAGGCCCAGGGCAGAAAACAAAAGAUUCAUUGUGUGUUUGAUGAGGUAUCAAGAUGAAGUGAGUAGAAGUCCUCAUGAAAUUUCCACAGCUACUGUCACUUGAAUCAAAGUUGAGACUGAAAGGACAUGAGAGGAAUCUGAGCCAGUGUAUCAAGCACCAUAUUGGUCCCUAUCAAAAGAGACCUCCUUCAUAUUGCUAGGCCCCAUCCCUAGAAAAGAUAAUAGGAACCCAGUACAGAGGUCCCCGACUUACAAUGGUUCAACUUAAACGAUUUUUCGACUUUCUGAUGGUGUGAAAGAGAUGGGCAUUCAGUAGAAACCGUACUUUGAACAUAGAAUUUUGCUCUUUUCCUGGGCCAGCAAUGUGCGAUAUGAUCCUCUCUUGAGAUACUGGGCGUGGGCAGAGAGCUGCAGCUCCCAGUCAGCCCACAAUCACCAGAUCACAGCUGAUCCACCUGUUAUCAUUCUGUUCCCUGACAACCAUUCUGUUUUUUCACUUUCAGUACAGUAUUCAAUAAAUUACACGAGAUAUUCAACACUUUAUUAUAAAAUAGGCUUAGUGUGAGAUAAUUUUGCCCUACUGUUGGUUAAUGGAAGUGUUUUGAGCACAUUUAAGAUAGUCUAAGUGUAUUAAAGGCAUUUUUGACUCACGAUAUUUUCAACUUACGAUGGGUUUUUGGGAUGUAACCCCAUUGUAAGUUGAAGAAGAUCUGCAUUGAAUUUUCCACCUUAAAGAUUCAUGUCUCAAGGAGCCAUUCUCCUCUGCAGCCUAGAUAAAACCCCUCAGCACUGAAAGGAAUCUGGAUUGUAGACUAUUAUAAAUAAAUUCCCCUUCUUCUUUCCACUCUUUCCUACUCCUGCAUCUUCUUUUUCCAAUCUUUGGUCCAUCCCUCUUUCAGCUCCCCCUGUUUACCCUUGCCCUCAUCGUGCUGUUUUCCUUCCUUGGGAAGAAGUCUUGCAGUAUCAAGUUUAAGUUUAUAAAUGCAGAAUUAAGACUUACGCGGGUUCCUCUCCUAACUUCAGCAUUUACUUAGCAGCAUGCCCUUGGCAUGUUAAUUAACCUCUCUGUGACCCAGUUAAUGUCUCUGUAAUACGGGAAUAAUAAUAGAGUUGUUGUGAGUAAUAAAUUAGAUAAGAUGAGCAAAGUCCUCAAUGUAUAUUAGCUUUUGUCAUAAGCAGAAGUAGUAGCAUUGAUUGGUAGUAGUGGCAGUAGUAUUAUGGAGGUAUUGAAAGAAAAACAUACUAUGCGUAAGUCCAAUUAAAACUUUUCAAACCUCAUCUUGAUUGACUUUUCAGUAAAAUGUGGCAAAGUUUCAUCACUGAAACUCUUGGCAUCUGGGACCCCCAUACAUGUUCCAUUUUCUUUGUGCUUUUCUGGGUACUUUUUUUCUUUUGGUUAUUCUCCUUUAUGGGAUCACCCCUCACUCUCUGAUAUUUAAAUGUUAGAGUUCCUUAGAGCUCUGUUUUAGGCUCUCUUCUCACUCCAUGCUCUUUCUAGGUUAUCUCACCUAGGAAUCUCAUUCUUGAAAAAAUACCUUCAAAUGAAUAUUUCUAGGCCAAACUUCUCUGAGUUCAAGAUCUAUAUUUAGAUACUUAUUACACCUUUUCGUUUGGAUAUCUCACAGACACCUCAACCUAAACAUGUCUAAAACUGAACCAAUCUUUCCACCAAACGUAUCGAUUUCUGCAAAUGUGACCACCAUCCAUCUAGUCACAUAAGUCAAAAAUGUAAAGGUAAUCCUUGAUCCAUACUUCUUGCCCUAUCCCCACAUGUUAUCCAUCACAAUGUCCUGUCUGUUCUACCUCCAAAAUAGCUAUAAUCUGAUCACCCUUAGAAUCUGUUUCUGCCCUGAUUCAAGCCACUAUCAUAUCUGACUUGCACGUUUUCAGUAACCUCCUAUCUGGUCUUUGCUUAUGAUAUUUAUCCUGUCUUUACAAUCUAGUCUCAGAGCGCACAUGCAAUUUAUUUCAUUGCAUUUUGUAAAAAAUCCACAAGUUUUACAUUGACCUGCAACUCUUGGUAUCACUGGGACCCUCCUUGCAUCUUCAGAUUCUUCUCUUGCUACUCUUCCCCUUUGUCUCUAGACUCCAUCACUUCAUUAAAUGCUCCAUGCUCCUUUCUGACUUCUGCACUUUCACAGAUGACUUUUGCUCUGCCUGGAAUAUUUCAUCCACCCUUAUCCUACCCAUGUUUGCUUAGCUACUCAUCCUUUAAUUCUCACUUAAAUGCCACUUUUAAAAGGAAGCCUUCUUUGACCUCUCAGACUACAUUAGUCUAUUGCACUCCCAUAAAAACUUAAAUUUCAUUUUCAAUAUUAUCUUCACAUUGAAAUAAACUAGUUGUAUAAAUAUUUGUUUAAUGAGUCUAGAGCUUGACAAGUGGUAGUUGAGAAAUCUAGUUAUUAUUGUCAUUAUUAUAUUCCAUUGUAAAUUGUUUUAGCUGAGGGUCAUAAGAAGUGAAUAGACUUGUUAGCUAUUCAUAGUUAUUUUUUUUUUUGAGGAAGAUUAGCCUUGAGCUAACUAUUGCCAAGCCUCCUCUUUUUGCUGAGGAAGCCCGGCCCUGAGCUAACAUCCGUGCCCUUCUUCCUCUACUUUAUAUGUGGGAUGCCUACUACAGUGUGGCUUGUCAAGCGGUGCCAUGUCCGCACCUGGGAUCCAAACCGGCGAACCCCGGGCCACUGAAGCGGAAUAUGCACACUUAACUGCUGCGCCACCGGGCCGGCCCCUAUUUGUUGUUCUUGAUCUUGAAGGAGAGAAGAACAUAUGGGUAAGAGGGCCCAUAGACUUGUUGAAGCAAGGAAAACUUUCUAACCACGCCUUGUUCAGAGCAUGUGGAUUGUCACUAGUUUAACUCUGUCCAUGGGUAUAUAUUAAAGCAUUUAAUAGGUAAACUAGAAGCAGUCAGCUCAAACUUUGUAAUCAUCUUCAAAGAGAAAAUGUUAGUUUUCUGCUCUGCAAAACCUUGCAGUGUGAUGGUUAAAAAGAGCAGUGAUCAAAAUAAUUAUACCAGUCCUUUGAGAAUGCUUAUGCAUGAACAUGGGCCUGUAUACAUUCCAAGAAUGAUUAUCUUCUAAUUUUGCUUUGACUUUGAUUAAACAGCUUUAAAGGCCAGUCAUAUGAAAUGGAUCUGAUUAUUUCACCGUCAUGUACAGUAAACCCAGAGUGUCUAUUCCAGCUUUGUAGAUUUGUUCCAAAGCCUAUAAAACUGUCAUGGGACUGUAGAGCCAAACCUGAUCAGACAAGUCCUGCUCAUCUCCAUGAUAGUGCAGAAAACCUCUCCAGCUGUGAACAAGGAAGUCGAGGCCAAAAGCUGCAAAUCCAAACACAGUAACACUGAGGGGCUUGACAUAACUCUAAUGAACUUCUCUUUUGUUUCAUUUUGCUGCCUUUCAUUAAGAAGUCCUAUCUGGUUCAUGAAGAAUUCCAUUUUCAAAAACAUUCAGAGAUUAAAAGAGAAUUUAAUUCUAAGUAAAUUUAAUGUAAACCAGAAAUUAUUUUCUGAAAAUCAAAUUAAAAAGAAAAACAAAAGUGCCUCUUGCAUAUUACUGAGAUCAACCACCGUUAUGGUUAAGUACACUGUAUCUUUCCCCCUUCUUUAUGGUCUAUCUGCCUCAGCAAUGCUAUAGCACUUACUGUAUCCAUGAUGUAAUGGAUCUUCAACACAAGAUAUCUUGUGAAACUUUGUAUCACUCAUGUGUAUAUAUCUGGAGCAAAAACACUCCUUCCAAUAUUCCCGACCUGUACACGCAUGAAGAACCACCCAAGUGCUUUUUUAAAAGGGAAUUUUUAAGAUAAUUCUAGAUCCGCAUGCCGUUGUAAGAAAUAAAACAGCGAGAUCCCUGUACACUUUGCUGUUUCCCCAAGUAUAACAAUUUGCAAAACUAUAGUGUAAUAAAACAACCAGGAAACUGAUACUGAUACAAUUCACAGAUCUUAUUCAGAUUUCCUGUUUUACUUGUACGUGUGUGUGUGUGUGUGUGAAAUUCUCUGCAAUUUUAUCAUUACCUGGGGAAGUUCAUGUGUCCACCACCACAAUCAAAACACUGAAUAGUUCCAACAUCACAAGGAUCCCUCUUGUUGCGCUUUUAUAACCACACCUACCACCAUCUCCAUCCCACCCCUAAACCUAAUCCCUAAUCCCACCUACUGAUCUGUCUUCUAUCAUCUGUGUGUAGCCUUUGGGAAUGGUUUUUACUCAUUCAGCAUAACUCCCCUGAACAUUCGUCCAGGUUGUUGUGUAUAUCAGUAGUUUAGUCCUUUCUGCUGCUGAGUAGUAUUCCAUGGCAUCAAGGUACCACAGUUUGUUUAACUAGUCAUCUGUUGAAGGACAUCUGGAAUGAUUCCAGUUUUUGUCUAUUACAAAUAAAGUUACUACCUGUACACGUUUUUGUGUGAACAUAUUUUCAUUUCUCUGGUAUAAAUGCCUAAGAGUGCAAUUGCUGGGUUGUAUCGUACUGCAUGUUUAGUUUUAAAAGAAACUGCCAAACUGCUUUCCAGAGUGGCUGUAUCAUUUUAUAUUCCCACAAGCACUGCGGGAGUGAUCCAGUCUUCUCCAUAUCCUUGCUAGCAUUUGGUGUUGUCACUACUAUUUUUCAAGCCAUUCUGAUAAGUGUCCUGAUAUCUCAUCGUUAUUUUAAUUUGCAAUUCCCUGAUAGCUAAUUAUGUUGAACAUCUUUUAAUGUACUUAUUUGGCAUCUAUAGAUCCUCUUUGGUAAAAUAUCUC